GACGAACGCUGGCGGCGUGCCUAAUACAUGCAAGUAGGACGCAGUUGCGAACGGGUGAGUAACGCGUAGGUAACUGCUUAUUAGAGGGGGAGAACUAUUGGAAACGAUAGCUAAUACCGCAUACUUGUAGAUGGACCUGCGUUGUAUUAGUUAGUAGGUAGGGUAAUGGCCUACCUAGGCAACGAUACAUAGCCGACCUGGGAGGGGGAUCUGCCCAACCGGGACUGAGACACGGCCCAGACUCCUACGGGAAGCAGCAGGAGGGAAUCUUCGGCAAUGGGGCGAACCCUGACCAAGCAACGCCGCGUGAGGGAAGAAGGGUUUCGGAUCGUAAAGCUCUGUUGUUAAGGAAGCGGUACUUAACCAGAAAGGGACGGCUAACUACGUGCCAGCAGCCGCGGUAAUUC
RNAcentral lists this ribosomal RNA (407 nucleotides) under uncultured bacterium. RNAcentral describes it as "partial 16S ribosomal RNA". It matches the Rfam family "Bacterial small subunit ribosomal RNA", at positions 28 to 526 of the family's 1533-position model. The record is from RNAcentral.